Molecule: ribosomal RNA, 492 nt
Filed under: uncultured bacterium
Lineage: Bacteria
Description: partial 16S ribosomal RNA
Rfam family: Bacterial small subunit ribosomal RNA
Source: RNAcentral
AUUGAACGCUGGCGGCAUGCUUUACACAUGCAAGUCGAACGGUAACGGGCCUUCGGGUGCUGACGAGUGGCGAACGGGUGAGUAAUGUAUCGGAACGUGCCCAGAGGUGGGGGAUAACGCAGCGAAAGCUGUGCUAAUACCGCAUGUGAUCUGAGGAUGAAAGCGGGGGACCAAGCAGCAAUGUUUGGCCUCGCGCCUCUGGAGCGGCCGAUGUCAGAUUAGGUAGUUGGUGGGGUAAAGGCCUACCAAGCCGACGAUCUGUAGCUGGUCUGAGAGGACGACCAGCCACACUGGGACUGAGACACGGCCCAGACUCCUACGGGAGGCAGCAGUGGGGAAUUUUGGACAAUGGGCGCAAGCCUGAUCCAGCAAUGCCGCGUGCGGGAAGAAGGCCUUCGGGUUGUAAACCGCUUUUGUACGGAACGAAAAGGCUCUGGCUAAUACCUGGGGCUGAUGACGGUACCGUAAGAAUAAGCACCGGCUAACUACGUG